UAGAGCUUGGCAAGCCUCCCCUAUAAAUAUGGGAUGGCAUUUGUAGAACACGAAGAAAAUACUACAACAAGCAACUCAAGCAUUGUAUUUAUCUCUUAAGUGCAAUACAAGUUUCUCAUUUGGCUCCAUUGCUUUCUUCUCUAGUUCGAGAGGCUCUAGGCUUACUUAGCAACAUUCGGCAAAGUUGUCUAAGUGCCGC
Molecule: long non-coding RNA, 199 nt
Filed under: Nicotiana benthamiana
Lineage: Eukaryota; Viridiplantae; Streptophyta; Magnoliopsida; Solanales; Solanaceae
Description: long non-coding RNA (NBEN_LNC019112)
Source: RNAcentral